RNAcentral lists this long non-coding RNA (470 nucleotides) under Capsella rubella. Its description in RNAcentral is "long non-coding RNA (CRUB_LNC000497)". The record is from RNAcentral. Lineage: Eukaryota; Viridiplantae; Streptophyta; Magnoliopsida; Brassicales; Brassicaceae.
AUCAUACGACAAAAACUCUUCUCUGGGAAUUUUCAAAGAAGUUUUUCUUUCCAACCAUACAAAUCCAGGUGAAUCAAUUUAUAUAUAGGUUUACAUUUCUAAAAAAUCAUAUCGAUAAGUUUAUCUUCUAAACCAUUUCUUUUUCUUCUUUUUCUCAUUGUGUGUUUAUUGGUUUUCAUACUUAAGAAAUUCUUGCAGUGAAGAAGGACAAAGAUACUUCAAAGCAAGAGUUUUUUUUUGAGGAAGAAGAUUUGAAGUUUUUUUAGAGGAAGAACUGAAAUUUCUCAGAAGAAAGAACAAUUAACAAAGGAAGAAGCAUGGAGUAAAGGAAGAUUGAUUAUUCAUGUGUUUAGACGUGAGAAACCAAAACCCAAUUGUAAUAUUUUUUUUUAAUAAAGAUUUGAUUAUUCAUGUGAUAUAUUUGAUUAGAUUUUUAGUAGAUAUAUUCCAACAAGAUUUUGAGAGAAAAU